UACGAAGGGGGCUAGCGUUGCUCGGAAUCACUGGGCGUAAAGGGUGCGUAGGCGGGUUUUUAAGUCAGGGGUGAAAUCCUGGAGCUCAACUCCAGAACUGCCUUUGAUACUGAAGAUCUUGAGUCCGGGAGAGGUGAGUGGAACUGCGAGUGUAGAGGUGAAAUUCGUAUAUAUUCGCAAGAACACCAGUGGCGAAGGCGGCUCACUGGCCCGGUACUGACGCUGAGGCACGAAAGCGUGGGGAGCAAACAGG
This 253-nucleotide ribosomal RNA is filed under the name uncultured bacterium. Its description in RNAcentral is "partial 16S ribosomal RNA". It matches the Rfam family "Bacterial small subunit ribosomal RNA", at positions 524 to 776 of the family's 1533-position model. The record is from RNAcentral.